Molecule: microRNA precursor, 151 nt
Filed under: Otolemur garnettii (small-eared galago)
Lineage: Eukaryota; Metazoa; Chordata; Mammalia; Primates; Galagidae
Description: miRNA (ENSOGAG00000029254.1)
Source: RNAcentral
AAUGCCCAGUCUGAUUCCACUUGUUAAAAUAAUAGUUCAAAGCACAUGCAAAAUGCUUAUUUGCUAUUAGAAGGCAGGAUUGUGGUUACUCUUUAGGAAAUGGUGACUGGAAGGGAGAACAAUUUCAACUUCUUGAGUGCUGAUAAUAUUU